CCAACAGUUUUUUGUCACUUAGAAAACCACACACAUACUUCUGUCGUUCUUAGCAGAGAGGCUGGCCACAGAAAAAGACAAACACACACACCUACACACACACACACACACCUACCGUCCUAUGUCUGCUCCAUUCAGUCUUGUCAGUCAAAGAGCGAAACACCUUCACUCUGUAGUGAAGAAGCUGUUUAAGGGUUGACUAGUUUGAUUUUUCCCUUAUUGUUGCUGAUUUUGACCUUUAAACAAAAACUAGAGAGUACAGAUUCACAACACCUUGAUCACAGCAGCUCUGCUAACAGGAUCUUUUGGAAAAGGUUUUACAGAUUGCAGCUUUAAUGAAUCAAAGGAAACUUCAUGUUUCACUGCAGAUGGAAAAUCUGUUCAUUUUUAUCUGUCAGAAAAAUACCAUAGUGGCAAGAAGGAGCUAAAACACGGCGGGUCCGUACUCUUCCAGAUGGACCAAAAUGGAAAAGUGAUAACUAAUCACCAAUAUGUUAAUGGAACAAUCAGAUUGAACAAUGUUUCAAAGACAAAUGCUGGAGUUUACACCUUUCAAGAGUUUAACCCUGAUGGCAAAGUACUGAGAAAUUCCAUUGUGAAUCUCAGAGUACUUGCUCCUGUGUCUGUGUUAACGGUGUCUCAGCAGUGUUUGUCACCAGAACAGCAGAAAGUCACCUGCUUCUAUGAGGGAGAUGAAGCAGAGCUCACUCUGACUUUGAAUGGUUUCUUACUUUUACAAUCAAACAAACCCAGUCAGUCCCUGAACAAUGACACAUCUGAUAGAUCCAGUGUGUUUAAUGUUUCCAUCAUCAUACAUGGACAGCUUUUUGGAAACAUCACGUGUAAAGUCUGGAACGAUGUCAGCAGAGAUGAGACGGUUAAAACCAUGACUGCUUGCAACGGUUCACAAGUUUCAGUUUCUUUGGCCCCAUUCGCUGCAGUUGUUCCACUCAUAGUUUUUGUUGCUUUGACUGCCACUCUAAUUAUAAUUUGUAAAAUUCAAAAACCAGAAGAUAGAUAUGAUGGUGUCAUUUUACAACAUAAACCCCCAGAUGACUUAAAAACUAAAUUUAUCUUCAUGAAAGUUAAAGUGAAAUAAAAAAUAGAGAAAAACUGAAGCCAAACUCCAAGAUAGAGUUUGACAAUCAUUUUGAUUUAUCCUUAAAUUAAACAAUUGUUUAUAUGUCACUUUUUUCUUCUGUCUUUGCUUCACUGAAAACAAUUUUACCAAUGGAUAGAUUUACUUUUACUUUAAUUUCAACAUUUUGUUCUGUAAGAGUUUCAAAUGUACGUGAAAUGUUUGUUUUUCUAUAUGUUGCCACAAGAUGAAGCCACAUUACUUCUCUUUAUCAACCUGUUAGACUGUUGAAUGUUUUUUUCUUAUUUCUUAAAUGCCAUUUUAAGAAACUUCUUAAGGUUAAUGUGACUUUACUUCAUUAAUACCGCAUUGGUAUUUUUGUUCCUGUAAUUUGUUUUUAAUUUUGUUAUUUUUGAAAUGUUUUUAGAAUAAAAUGAAAUCCCAGUCAUGAAGUCUAUAUGGGCUGACAUAGAGAGAAAUAUUAUUUUUCUGAAAUUUUGAGAAUGUACAUGAACCACUAUUCUACACUGUAAAAGCUGGAAAUACAAAUUGUUUGGUGGAAUUGAGCUCAUGAGGCAGAAGAUAAAACGUAUAAAA
This is a long non-coding RNA of Oryzias latipes (Japanese medaka), 1675 nucleotides long. RefSeq lists it as uncharacterized. The record is from RefSeq and is a predicted model, not a curated record. Lineage: Eukaryota; Metazoa; Chordata; Actinopteri; Beloniformes; Adrianichthyidae.